GCCGGAAGCGGUGGCGCGCGCCUGUAGUCCCAGCUACUCGGGAGGCUGAGAUGGGAGGAUCGCUUGAGCCCAGGAGUUCUGGGCUGUAGUGCGCUAUGCCGAUCGGGUGUCCGCACUAAGUUCGGCAUCAAUAUGGUGACCUCCCGGGAGCGGGGGACCACCAGGUUGCCUAAGGAGGGGUGAACCGGCCCAGGUCGGAAACGGAGCAGGUCAAAACUCCCGUGCUGAUCAGUAGUGGGAUCGCGCCUGUGAAUAGCCACUGCACUCCAGCCUGGGCAACAUAGUGAGACCCCGUCUCU
Molecule: signal recognition particle RNA, 299 nt
Filed under: Microcebus murinus (gray mouse lemur)
Lineage: Eukaryota; Metazoa; Chordata; Mammalia; Primates; Cheirogaleidae
Description: Metazoan signal recognition particle RNA (ENSMICG00000046200.1)
Rfam family: Metazoan signal recognition particle RNA
About the family: The signal recognition particle (SRP) is a universally conserved ribonucleoprotein. It is involved in the co-translational targeting of proteins to membranes.
Source: RNAcentral